GAGAACGCGAGUCACCGGUGCGAAAUAUCUAAAUUUUUAAGGAGAAGAGCCACGAGUGACACGUGGAGGAGUCCCAGAGGCUUAGUGGUAUAGAUCCACUGUCUCUUUUGGGUAUUUAAUUUAUGAUUUAUAAUGUGUUAUAUUGCCAAUAUUAGGACUUUUUUUAUGUUUAUUGUCAAUUAUAUGAAUAUAUAAAUGUAAUCAUGCCUUUCAAACUAUUUCUAUUUUUGGUACAAUUUGGAUGACUGUAAUUUUAAUAUUUGGUUUACUUUGGAUUGGUUAAAAUGGCAUGAUUAUAAGGCCAAAUAACUGGCUUGUGUUGAAAAUUGACUAAA
Molecule: long non-coding RNA, 335 nt
Organism: Prosopis cineraria
Lineage: Eukaryota; Viridiplantae; Streptophyta; Magnoliopsida; Fabales; Fabaceae
Exons: 2
Source: RefSeq, a predicted model, not a curated record